Molecule: long non-coding RNA, 2665 nt
Organism: Callithrix jacchus (white-tufted-ear marmoset)
Lineage: Eukaryota; Metazoa; Chordata; Mammalia; Primates; Cebidae
Source: RefSeq, a predicted model, not a curated record
AGUACUAUUACCCAGUAGAACUGUUGCUGAGCUACAGAGUGAUGUCAUCCCCUGGUAAUUGUUACCCCACUGUUUAGUACCUAGUGAUUGUUGCUUCCACCAAAAUCUGGUGGGCUUUAUUCCAUGCCUAGCACAUAAAUGCCAGCGAAAAAGUGGAAUAAGUAGAUAAGUUUCAAGCUUCAAGGUCGUUUACAUUCCAGUGAAAAAAGACAGGAAGCAUGUACACAAGUAAAUAAUUGGAGAGAAUGAAAUCACCAGAGACUCGGGUCCUUCAGCUUUAAAGUAUCUCAGAACUUGUACAGUGACUCUAGUCAAUAGCUUAAAUCCAAGCUGAAAAGACUUGUUAAGGCCUCUAUCUUCUCCACCUCUCUGGUAGACUUCCAACAGCAAGGAUUUGGAAAGAGCAGUGUACCGACUUCUAAGGAGAGUUGGCAUCUUAAAGAAAACCUCUUAAUUAGUGAGUUUCUCUAAGAGAAGAAUAAAAGACUGUCUAGUACACUAAGUAAGUAACUAAAUACUAACAAACUAAUCACCUACUCUGGGUUAGAUUCUGUAAGACCAUCUGAAACCAACUGACUUUCUGUUGCUAUAGGAAUAUCCUUGCACUGUAUUACUCAACCACAUUUGGAGGGAAAUUCCCAUACUUCUCUUUGAGAAAAAAAAAAAAAACUUUCUAAAGAGUUUUAUAGACUACAGCAUGGUGCUAGACUAGGCAAACAUAGAGGGAGAUGAAAGGCUCGUUAAGAGCAGCCUACAUUGAGGAUUACAGAAACGUCUUCCCCAAAAGACGAUAAUGAACAGACCCAAUGGAUGAGACCUUUACCAGUGGAAGUCUGAUGUAAUAAGGAGUCUGUCAGCAUCCAGGAACUGUGCAUAAUUUGAUGUGCAAAUAAACAUUUCCCUUCCUAUCUUCUGAUAACGUUUAAGUGCUAUUUAAGGUUUUCCUUUGAGGAAGAGAUAUCCGUUGAUAGCAGAAGAAAUAAUGAGCCAAAUAUACUGAGACUUCCUGGCAACCAGUCUGACUGAAUGGGUAGCCAUUCUGAUAUGUACCUGUGUGUACGUGUUGGAAGGAGGUGCAGUAAACAAUUAAAUAUCACCCUCUGACUGUUACUAACCUGAAACACUCUUUGAAUUCUUCCUCCACCCACACCUCUCUCUUUCCCUUGAGACACUUCCGGUUUGAGUCUGAUUAUAGGAGAUAGAAUCCAUUGUCAAUAAUACACUUUGAUUAGUUAAUACGUUGUUUAAAUUGCAAUAAGAAGUGAAUUGCUCAUAUACUUGUACAAACUGUCACUGUGUGUAUACAGUAAUCUAAUGUAUUCUGCAAUUUUUCCUUGUGAAAUUAACAGGGCCUGGGGAAAAUUCAGUUAUUAAACUUGAAUUUGCAUUUGAGACAUACAGAACACUAAAGAAUCUCAAUUUAUACGUGAAGUUAACAAGGUACAGAGUGUAUGCAUUAAAUUCCCUUUCUGUUUCUGCCAUCUCUGUUAUAUUACUUUAAUAUGGACAUAGUAAUAGAUAUAUAACAAAAGUGCUACGUACAUCAAUACAGUCCUGAGACCAAUCUCUUUGUGUAGUUUUAUCAAAUUUAAAUGACAUACUUAAAAAGAGUGUCUUCUGAGUAUCCUACCAGAUAUAUAAGGCACUAUAUUAAAAAAAGAAAGUCACCAUGAAAGAAUCUGUUCAGGGGUAUUCUUCAAGUGCACUCUACAUGCAUAACAUGAGGCUGAAGAAGCUCUCAGAAAACUCAGUUUUUUUCUACAAGAAGCAUCUUGAAUUUUAAACCUUCUAAAUGUUGCUUUCAGGAAUAGCAGCUCUCAGAGGUAACCUAAUCAGCCCUUUUACCUAAAAUAUGUAAGAUAAUUUGACCUCUAGAAUCUGAGAACUUUGAAAACUGCACUAGUUUGCAUGAAUUUCCAAGAAACAAAAUUUCUUCAUUGUCAAAAAUGUUCAAUUAGAAAAAUAUAUCCACCUCCUACAUCCUUUUAAAAUCCUGUAUAUGCAUCAUAUUUAUAUUUUUCAUCAAAAUAGCAAAAGGGCAGAAUAAAUUCUAUCCCACCCAAUUGUAUCAUGGGACAGAUACUCUCUGUGUUUGCAGUUUCCUGGGAGCUAGACACUGAGAAGCAUAACAACUGUGCAGAAAAAAAAAAAAAGUGGCAUUUAGUGCUUUCCUUCUGGGAAAGACAAGGAAAAGUUCAAGAACCACUCCCAUGUGGCAGAGACUGAAAUGCAGAAUCUACAGAACACAUCUGAAAAUGCUCUUUGCUCUAUGUAGGCUUAUACAUACUGCAUCUAACACUAAAUAGAAUGUCAUUUUUCUGUUUUACAUUUAGUGUGGGCAAGAGAGCAUGAGUGGAGCACACCCAGUGGUACUACAAGAUGCACUGGCUGCCUUGAUAGUUAACCUGACACUCAGCUCCCUAAGGUACCAUCAGGGAAUCACACAGGCACCAAGCACUGUAAUUGUCAUUUUUACUGACAACUGAUUGAAGUACUAUUAUAUUCCGGAGUAGCAUUGACAAAAACAUUGAAUUAUUUGUAAUAAGAACAUAAUUUUAAUUUAAAUUAUUUUUUAAAAUUUUAACAAAAUUGAAAUGAGCUUUUAAAAACUGUAUAGUUUCAGUAUUUCUAUGUUUGUCCGGUAAACUAUUUAUAAGUGAGAUAA